This is a long non-coding RNA of Microplitis mediator, 439 nucleotides long. RefSeq lists it as uncharacterized. Lineage: Eukaryota; Metazoa; Arthropoda; Insecta; Hymenoptera; Braconidae. The transcript has 3 exons. The record is from RefSeq and is a predicted model, not a curated record.
CAUUGCUAAAUUUUCUCACUUCCAAUUUUCCGACUCCCACCAUUAAUUAUUGUAAAGCCACGCCUCAUGCCAAAAUGUAUAUAAACAUAUUUUAACGCACAGACGAACAUCAGUAAAAAUUACUAAACUCCAACGUUGUCUUCCUGUCUGUUUAAUAAAUCGUCAAAAACAACGAAAAUUUUGAAAAUGAUUAAGCUGUUGAUAUUUUCACUUUUGAUGAUCGCAUUGGUAGCAGCUGUUACUGCUGAAGGUUGUCCAGGACAAUGGUGUCACCCGAGUGAAGGUCACCCCUGCUGCAAUGUCGAUUAUCGUUGUUCAGCCGAAUGGUUCCAAGGUACCUGCUAUCUUAGGAAAAAUGGAAAAUAAAUGGAAAGUUCAUCUUGUAAUUACAAGUAAUAGGCAAAUGUACUACUUCCUUAAUAAAUAAACUGACAUUUGC